CUAAGUGGUCCCGUAGCUCAGCAGGAUAGAGCACCAGAUUCCUAAUCUGGGGGUCGCGCGUUCGAAUCGCGCCGGGAUCACCA
Molecule: transfer RNA, 83 nt
Filed under: Sinorhizobium meliloti 2011
Lineage: Bacteria; Pseudomonadati; Pseudomonadota; Alphaproteobacteria; Hyphomicrobiales; Rhizobiaceae
Description: tRNA-Arg
Rfam family: tRNA (bases 7-80)
About the family: Transfer RNA (tRNA) molecules are approximately 80 nucleotides in length. Their secondary structure includes four short double-helical elements and three loops (D, anti-codon, and T loops).
Source: RNAcentral